GGGCCUAUAGCUCAAUUGGGAGAGCACCGGCUUUGCAAGCCGGGGGUUAGGAGUUCGAGUCUCCUUAGGUCCA
Molecule: transfer RNA, 73 nt
Filed under: Chlorobiota bacterium
Lineage: Bacteria; Pseudomonadati; Chlorobiota
Description: tRNA-Ala
Rfam family: tRNA
About the family: Transfer RNA (tRNA) molecules are approximately 80 nucleotides in length. Their secondary structure includes four short double-helical elements and three loops (D, anti-codon, and T loops).
Source: RNAcentral